AUAAAAUCCCAGCAUGGGGGUGUCUGCCCUCCACCUUCCUGACACCCAGGCACCACUGUGAUGGAAUCCCAGCAUGGCAGGGGGGUGUCUUCCCUCCACUGCAAUACCCGGGGACCAGUCAGGAUGCAACAGAGGUCCAGAAGUCCAAAGCAUAUGUGGUUAAAGGUGAACUCUCUUUCUCAGUGAGACAUCACUGAAGAACAGGUGCCAAAUGGCAGGUCUGUGUGCACCCAGGCCCU
Molecule: long non-coding RNA, 239 nt
Organism: Perognathus longimembris pacificus (Pacific pocket mouse)
Lineage: Eukaryota; Metazoa; Chordata; Mammalia; Rodentia; Heteromyidae
Exons: 3
Source: RefSeq, a predicted model, not a curated record